AGUGAACGCUGGCGGUAGGCCUAACACAUGCAAGUCGAACGGUAGCACAGGAGAGCUUGCUCUCUGGGUGGCGAGUGGCGGACGGGUGAGGAAUACAUCGGAAUCUACUCUGUCGUGGGGGAUAACGUAGGGAAACUUACGCUAAUACCGCAUACGACCUACGGGUGAAAGCAGGGGAUCUUCGGACCUUGCGCGAUUGAAUGAGCCGAUGUCGGAUUAGCUAGUUGGCGGGGUAAAGGCCCACCAAGGCGACGAUCCGUAGCUGGUCUGAGAGGAUGGUCAGCCACACUGGAACUGAGACACGGUCCAGACUCCUACGGGAGGCAGCAGUGGGGAAUAUUGGACAAUGGGCGCAAGCCUGAUCCAGCCAUACCGCGUGGGUGAAGAAGGCCUUCGGGUUGUAAAGCCCUUUUGUUGGGAAAGAAAUCCAGCUGGCUAAUACCCGGUUGGGAUGACGGUACCCAAAGAAUAAGCACCGGCUAACUUCGUGCCAGCAGCCGCGGUAA
Molecule: ribosomal RNA, 506 nt
Filed under: uncultured bacterium
Lineage: Bacteria
Description: partial 16S ribosomal RNA
Rfam family: Bacterial small subunit ribosomal RNA
Source: RNAcentral